GUAAGAGGGACUUUACGACGCUCUUAGGCUUAAGAUGCUUUCGGGAAACUGGGCCCUGGGUUCAUGCACUUGGCCUAGAACAGGAACAUUUUGGAGAGGGAAUGAGAGAAUGAACGCACACAAGAAACUUUUUAAUUAAACAUAGGCCUAAUUUACAAAGACAUUGUUAAACACUAAGGGCGGGUUGCACCAACAUGGUUUAACUUUUAAACUGGAUUAAAUCAUGGGUUACUGAGUAAUUUUGUUGCACCAACCUUAAACCUAGUUUAAAUUGAUCUUAAAUUAAACUCUGGUUAAAUUUAAACCCCAGUUAAUCCCAGUUUAAAUUCCUAUUUAAACCUAGAUUAAAUAUUAGUCUGUUGCACCAGUAAUUUUAAACCCAGGAUAAAACUGGCUUGGCAGUUUAAUUUAAACCACCCCUAGAGGAGGUUUAAGUGUUUUAGUAUAACUGACAACAUGGCUGCAUAUAUUUGCUUGAUGGAAUUAGAAGAAAGAGUUCCACACAGGAAUAUUCGAGAUAGGCUUAACCCUAUGCAAUUUUAUAGCAACAGUGAGUUUUUCCAUCGGUACAGAUUUACAAAAGAGUCUGUGAUAUACCUCAAUGGGAGAGUUGGACCAGCUAUCAAGCAUAGAAGUGAAAGGAAUGCUGCUGUGCCGCCACUUCUCCAGCUCUUGGUUGCUUUACGCUUUUAUGCCACAGGUUGUUUCCAAAUGGUUGAUGGGGAUCUUUUUGGAGUUCACAAGUCCACAGUCUGCAGAAUUGUCAACAGGGUGACAAAAGCUAUAGCAAGUUUGAGAGAUCAGUUCAUUCGUUUUGAGCAAAGGAGGGAGAUAACAGCUGGAUUCUACAGAAGAGCAGGGUUUCCGGGGGUAAUUGGCGCUAUUGACUGCACACACAUUUUAAUACCUAACCCAGGUGGUGAGAAUGGGGAACUUUUCCGUAAUCGAAAGGGCUUUUUCUCCAUCAAUGUCCAAGUUGUGUGUGAUGACCAGGCACAGAUUACAAGCAUUGUUGCAAGAUGGCCAAGAUCUACACAUGACAGUCGGAUUUUUGACAACAGUCAUCUCUGCAGUACUGGAGGGAGGGGAGAUAGGUGGAUAUCUAGUGGGUGACAGUGGCUAUGCAUGCCGCUCAUACCUAAUGACUCCACUUUUGAACCCUCAAACUCAGACUGAGAGGAACUACAACAAGUCUCAGAUUAAAACUAGAGAGGUGAUUGAGCGAGUGUUUGGGAUGUGGAAGCGGAGAUUUCACUGUUUAAAAUUUGGGCUGCGCACUAAACUGGACACUACUCUGACAAUAAUAGUGGCUGUGCUAUACAAUCUUGGUAAAAGAAUAGGAGAUGAGCUGCCAGAGGAGAAUGAGGAACCCCGUGAGGAUGAGGAGGUUGAAGAUGUGCAAGCAGGCCUACAAAAUGCUGCAAAUGUCAAUGGAAGUGCUGUGAGGAGAACACUGAUUGAAACCCACUUUGUAGCCUAAUCAAGGGAGGAACUGAUGGGACUUCCAUUUUGCAAUGCAAUAUUUAUUAAACAAUAUGAAACAACAAUAAACAAACAUUUAACAAAUAUUUAAUAUGCCUACAUCAUUCCAUGUAGAGCAUCAAGGGAGUCCUUAGGUGGCUGGCUCAUCUCUAAUUGUUGUUUCUGCAACGAGUUAAAACUUCCUUUUUAAGUAAGAGUACUUCCUUUUGUAACUUUGCAUUUUCAAUGUCCAGAAGACACCGCUCCUUCUCAAGUUCAAUUACUUCAUGGUGGGCAGAGAUCAUCUUGGUGCGCUUCUCAGGAGGUGUAACAGAGGGUAUUGUUGCUCUGUUAUCCUUCACUGACUGCAGGACAACAACCAUGUCAUCUAUUAAAAAAAACCCACACACACACAAAUUCUCUCAUUAGACCAGUUGCAUCAACUCAGAUCUACCACACCUUCGUACAUUCCUACAUGCAGAAUCCUGACGUUAGUCCUCUACUCUAUGUAGUGGGUCGGGUGGUUGAGACAGGAAGCGCAGCUCGAAGGCCGUCCCACUGACGCUGAUUAUUUGGAUCAGGUGGCAAGUAGCGCUUGCUUUUAAAUGUAGUGAGAUGCGGACAGGAGCACAACAGUGCGUGUGCGUUGAAGAGUGAGCUUUGUGAAAUAAGCUGUGAAAUAAGCUGUGCAAACAGGAAAACGUGAGUCUUUUCAGAAGGUUACGUCUAUUGGUCUUUAACACUAAACUUGUUUCCAUCGAGUAGCACUUAACACGGUUCAUUGUUUGUUUGUAGCUCGGCCUGGUGUCUGUGCGUAUGGUGACCAGUAAUGGUACACGCAGUUUCAAGUCUACUUUGCUCGCAUAAUAGCGAGUAGUGAAUCCACACUGGUUUGCAGCAACAUAAGUUUACUUGCUCCCCUUUUCCUUCAGACGUAACACGUAGUGUUUAUAGCUCUGACCGUUUCCUGUCUUGAUAUUGUCUAUGGGCAGAAGCAACGCUGAUGCUGGCGAGAGUGUGCACAGCUAUUAGUCAUCCACACUGGUAUAACUUCAUUGGCUCAUCCUAAUUCAUCUUGGCUGGUCUUAAAAACGAGGAUUGCCUUCGUCUGUCCAACAAGCCACUGUUUUUCCUGGAUUUAACUAUUUCGUUUUAUUUCAAUUCAUGUAUGUAUGUGCCUCGGAAAUCUACCACGUCUGUUGAAUGUUUACUGGGAACUUAGGUGGGCCUAGGGGGAAGCCUGCUGGUGGUAACCUGUUAGCUUAAAUGUUUUGUUUGUUUUUUUGUCUGUUUGUCUGGCAGUCAUUGUGAUACGUAUUCGGCCUGGGGAUUGUGCAAUAUUUCUUAAGGGGACAGUGCUUCGUUUGCAGUGCUCACUAGUGUAAAGUGUGAAACGCCGUGUCUGUGUGUACGGCCCAAUUGGUGUGAAGUGCCUCUUGCAGAUUGGAGUGUUUUAGAUUGUGUAUGUGAAAAGUAUUUAUUAAUGUAUUCGACUUAUUACACUGUAACUCAUCUGGAAGACCUAUUCAUUCAUUGUAACUUAUUGUAGAAUUUCAUCCACUGUUGCCUAUGUGGAACAUUUGCUUGUCCUGAUUGCCGAUCAGUGUAUUUAUGGUGUCUGUCUAGUGUCUAAUAAAUGUAUUUUGAUUACAUCAGUUCCAUUCCUCUUCCUUCAUUGGACAUAA
Alosa alosa (allis shad) is the source of this 3146-nucleotide long non-coding RNA. RefSeq lists it as uncharacterized. Lineage: Eukaryota; Metazoa; Chordata; Actinopteri; Clupeiformes; Clupeidae. The record is from RefSeq and is a predicted model, not a curated record. The transcript has 3 exons.